This is a long non-coding RNA of Apus apus (common swift), 3018 nucleotides long. RefSeq lists it as uncharacterized. The record is from RefSeq and is a predicted model, not a curated record. NCBI's taxonomy places the organism in Eukaryota, Metazoa, Chordata, Aves, Apodiformes, Apodidae. The transcript has 5 exons.
AGCCCGCAGUUAACAAUACUACUGGACUCCAAGAAAGUAAAGCAAAGCUUUUACACAGGAUAACCUGAAGGGUGACACUCUUGAGAAUCCCUGGGAGUUGAAUUCUUGCUUUGACACAGUGGCAAAGGGAGAGCACACAUGAUUUGGACUCAAAAAGAGCUAUGACCAAAUCAGCUUUGCUGCAUCUCUUGUAUUCUCCCUUCUGGCCACGACAAUGAAGAACCAUCAGGAUAAGAAAUCUUAUUACUCAGGGCUCCAUGCCACAGUGUGUCUCACCUCUAAACUUUGGCACUUCUCAGUAGUGAGAUGCACCCCAGUGAGUGGCACCCAUCAGACAGAGGUGGCAAGUCCUCCCUACCUGCUGGACUUGGAACUUGCACUCACAGAGACCUACUGACACAAGGCGGAAUGCUCUGUGCUUCCAAGUGCUCCUUGGUACAGAACAAUACAAAUGGCAAAUCAAGCUCAAGUAACUAGGAUGAUGCUUCCUGGAGGCAGUUCCUUCUACAUAAAACUGUAUCCACUGAGGGCAUGCAGUUAUAAAAAUGGAAAGCUGUCUGGAUGCUGCAACUUGGAAUGGUUCAUGCUUCUACAUCCUUUCCUUUUUUGUGCUAUUUAAUGUGAAAAGUGACAGUCAUCUGCAGCUGCCUCAUCCCUGUUCAUCAGCUCAGCAUCUGACUUCCAACCCAUUUUAAAUUGCUCGUUCCCCUAUAACCCUAAUACCUCCCUUUGUAACUGCCUUCACGAAUGAAGGUGCAGUGAUUAAAUCGCAGUGAUUACAUGCCUGCACUGACUUCUUUGUUAUGCAUUGUAGUAUAUGACUGGGUUUGUUAUCCAAAGCCUCCCAGGAUACUAGUUGUAUGAAAUAAAAAACAAAAUAAAGUUCAGGUUUUAAUGGUAGAAUUCUAGGUAUCAAAAUGUAGCAGAGAAUGGAAAGAAAUGGAACCAAGUAGCAAACUUCUAAGAUAGAACACCUUCUAAUUACAAUAACGCACUCCAGGGCUCAAAUUAUCAAAUGAUAAUUUACACCUAGGUGAUUUGACAGCACUCGGCCUUUGGCCUUCUGCCUAACAACACAAUAGGCGUAAAUCAUUACCAAGUGAUUCACACCCUGUCAUGUCUUAUUGCUUAAUUAAUUUGUCUAGAAGGCUUUCCAUGAGAACAUAUAGCAAAUGCCUUUGUUGUACAUCUUUUACUAAGGGUGUCAUUACCUGCUCUCUCUGUCAUUCUCAGCUCUUGUUUCAGCCACCUGUGUUUUAAAAAUGUCCAGCAAAUUUUUGCAUUUACCAUGCAGUCAUUUAAAAUUAUGCUGGAGUUUUAUGCUCUCUGCUUUUAGGUAAGUUCUUCUGUUGUUCUCUGGCUGCUGUAUUUGUGGACCCAUGGGUGGAGGUUAAAUUCAUGCUGAGCUGAAGACUGCAGAGAGCCUAGAACAGUAUCUUAUGGAUCACUGGAAAAUUGCACUCAAGCAGUUAAGAUGUUAUUUUUGUUAACUAGUAAGUGUACAUUUUCUCAACCAGGAAUAUUAAUAUCAUAUAUAAUCUUAAAACAAGUAAAGCUAUUUUGUUGAGGGAGAUAUUAAAUAUUUUGAAUAUAAAUAACAUAUAGUGGGCUUUUGCAAUGAUCCAGUCCUAUACCCCAUCAGUGUUCAGAAGAAUAAUAAAUAUGAUGAUACAAAAAAAUCCACAUUCGUGGAUAAUAUAACUACUGAUAGACAGGAUGAUCCAGCUGCAGCCUUGAGUACUUAAAACCAGAAUGAUUCUAGAAUGGAAAGGUUACUCUGGUGCUGCUUUUAUACAUUUUCUGACCCCUUUAGUAGGGAGGAUGCUAUGUUAGAUGGAUCAGACAUUCAGAAAGGCUUAUCUUACGUUCUUACGAACAUAGAUAACCAGAAUUUCCCAAGGACUGUUUGCUACUAGAAAGGCAAAGAAAUUACAAGAAAUAAGUCUUUACAAUGGCAAUAUUUUUUCUAGCUGUUUACUCAAGACAUUCAAGUGCCCAUGAAAGUGUCCUUGAACUAUCUCAGGUUGUGGCACAGUCAUUGUUGGCCACACUGAGGUUUUUCAUGUCAGUGCAGGUCAAUGCAGAAUCCAAGUUCUGUCCAAGUAGUAUUUUUUUUCUUGGCUACAUCUGCAAUUCUUGUUAGAAAUUUUAUUUUGGGCACCCAUUACUCUAAGAAAACUCCAUUGCACACAAAGGAAUGGACACAACCUGAGGAAAACUGAAGUCAGCUAAAUAGCUGAAGAGCCAUAACAACCUAUGAAAUUUUCACUUUUAUCUUCAGAUGUGACACCCUCCUAGCCACACAGAGCAGCAGUGAAACACCUAAGGAACUAAAUUAAGACAAUUCUUGUUUAUCAUGGAGAUAAUUUAAGAGCUUUGAGAUGGUUAAAACUGGCAGGGUUUGAUUCAGCGAGUGAGGACUGAAAGCCUUUUAAUCUCAAAGCUACCUCAGAGCUAGUCCUUGAUUAUUAAUGCUAUUAAUAUAUAUUAAGUAACAAAGAAGUACUAGGAAUGCAAAAAACAGACACAAGGCUACAUUUAACUUCCAAAACUCUUAUUUCUUCUUAAUGAAUUUUUCUCUUUGAAAAUGAAAGUUCUCUGCCUGCAACUUAUCACAAAAUAAACACCUGCAAACUACAGAAAUUUACUUUACUCCUUUGACAACUAAAGAAGGAGCAUCUGGAAAAUGCAACCCAGAAUCUGGGCAAUUGGAAAUUUGAUUGCAAGAGAAUAUAAAUUGUUUCCUUACAUACAGUUUCCAAAUUAAGACUAUUUUCUGAGAAUGCCCCUUAUCCAAAGUACUGUAAUACUUAUAAAUACAACUAUUUCUUAACUGAAACGUCAAAUGAACAAGUUCCAAGAAACACAUUUACAUAUUUUCUUGCCUAUGUUUAUUUGCCCUGUCAAUAAUAGUUUUCACCUUUCCACUUAUCUGAGAUUGAGUUUCCUGAUAAGACUAUGUUUUUAUAUGUAUUUGUGUAAUGGCAAAAUAAAGAUGGUAACAUCAGAAUUUGGCUC